This 415-nucleotide long non-coding RNA is filed under the name Salmo salar (Atlantic salmon). RNAcentral's name for it is "lncRNA (ENSSSAG00000109145.1)". Lineage: Eukaryota; Metazoa; Chordata; Actinopteri; Salmoniformes; Salmonidae. The record is from RNAcentral.
CCCAGUCCCCAUGUAGUGAAAUGGACCCCAGUCCCCGUGUGGUGAACAGCAGCAACUCAGUGUGAUUGGCCACUGGCAGCAUUGUGAUAACUGUUAGGAGAUGUUUACGUUCAGAUGUUUCCUGGUAUUUUGUCUUCCAUGUAUGCUCUAUAGCAGGUUAUUCCUCCAUGUAUGCUCUAUAGCAGGUUAUUCCUCCAUGUAUGCUCUAUAACAGGUAGUUCUCAUGUUUUCAUGGCUUAAAUAUUAACCAGAUUUUCCAGAAUAUUUUCUUCUCUGUCCCUGACUUGCAUACAGCUGUACUAUCCCUCCUUCUAUAUCAAUACAGCUGUACUAUCCCUCCUUCUAUAUCAAUACAGCUGUACUAUCCCUCCUUCUAUAUCAAUACAACUGUACUAUCCCUCCUUCUACAUCAAUA